RNAcentral lists this ribosomal RNA (468 nucleotides) under uncultured bacterium. RNAcentral's name for it is "partial 16S ribosomal RNA". It matches the Rfam family "Bacterial small subunit ribosomal RNA", at positions 28 to 507 of the family's 1533-position model. The record is from RNAcentral.
GACGAACGCUGGCGGCGUGCUUAACACAUGCAAGUCGAACGGAAAGGCCCUGCUUUUGUGGGGUGCUCGAGUGGCGAACGGGUGAGUAACACGUGAGUACCCUGCCCUUGCCUUUGGGAUAACUUCAGGCAACUUGGGCUAAUACCGGCUAGGAGCUCCUGCUGCAUGGUGGGCGUUGGAUAGUUUCGGCGGUUGGGGAUGGACUCGCGGCUUAUCAGCUUGUUGGUGGGGUAGUGGCUUACCAAGGCUUUGACGGGUAGCCGGCCUGAGAGGGUGACCGGCCACAUUGGGACUGAGAUACGGCCCAGACUCCUACGGGAGGCAGCAGUGGGGAAUAUUGCACAAUGGGCGGAAGCCUGAUGCAGCAACGCCGCGUGCGGGAUGACGGCCUGCGGGUUGUAAACCGCUUUCGCCUGUGACGAAGCGUGAGUGACGGUAAUGGGUAAAGAAGCACCGGCUAACUACGUG